UUAAUAAAAUAAACUACCAUAUUAAAUAAUAAAAAUUAUUAUAUAAUGACCGGUUAGGGGUGUCAAAAUGGGUCAAAAUUCAUGGGUCAACUCAACUCAACUCAACCCAUGAACCCUUAAAUUUUUUUACUCAAAUGAGUUGAUGGGUCAAAUGGGUUGAUGAGUCAAUUGGUUUGAUGAGUAAAAUGAGUUGGGUUGUAAUGGUUAAUGGUUUCAAUGGUUUACCCAAUUAACCCAUCAAAUUUUGUAAAUUUGAAUUAAACCAACUAAAAUCUCUAAACCAAUGCCAAUUUAAGUUUAACAAACACAUCUAAACCAAUUUAAUAAAAUUAAUAUUUUUCCAAAAUUCUUAAAUAUACAAGCGAUGCAAUUGAGAAAAAAUAAACUCGUAAUUUUUCCACCAAAAAACAUAAACCCGUGAUUUUCUCGCCAAAAACGUAAACCCGUGAUUUUCUUGCCAAAAACGUAAAUCCAUAAUUUUCCCGCCAAAAACGUAAACCCGUAAUUUUCCCGCCAAAAACGUAAACCCGUAAUUUUCUCACCAAAAACGUAAACCCGUGAUUUUCCCGCCAAAAAUGUAACCCCGUGAUUUUCCCACCAAAAAUGUAACCCCGUGAUUUUCCCGCCAAAAACGUAAACCCGUGAUUUUCCCGCCAAAAACGUAAACCCGUGAUUUUCCCGCCAAAAACGUAAACCCGAGAUUUUCCCGCCAAAAACGUAAAUCCGUUAUUUUUUCGUCCAAAACGUAAACCCAUGAUUUUUCCGUCAAAAACGUAAACCCAUCAUUUUCCGGCCGAAAACGUAAAAACCUAUAAUUUUCCCACCAAAAACGUAAAUCCGUGAUUUUCGGUACCAAAAACGUAAACCUGUGAAAAGUGGAAUCUGUAAAUAUCUUAAGUUUGAUGAUAAUGAAUUAAUAAUGAUAAUUAUUUAUUAUUU
This 939-nucleotide small RNA is filed under the name Arabidopsis thaliana (thale cress). RNAcentral's name for it is "ATSL175780". The record is from RNAcentral. Lineage: Eukaryota; Viridiplantae; Streptophyta; Magnoliopsida; Brassicales; Brassicaceae.